GUUGGUGAUGAUCGUUCGUGGGUUUUAGUGUUUGAUCUUGUAUUUUCACCUUAUUUUGUGUUAUUGGGGGGUUAUGAGUCUUCCUCUCUGAGGCUGACGUAUUUGAGUUUAUCUCUGCAAUAUAUGGCUAUGUUGUCACAUUAAUCUAAUACAAACAAAUAUACAGGUGUGGAAACGAAUACGGCUGCUUGUCAUUGCAUAUUAUGAAUAUGUUGGACUGAUUAUCCAGUCAAUCUCUGUAAUUUUUGUCCAUGUGCGAUUACGGUGGGACCCCCGCUGCGAUCGUAGGUGGACCAUCUUGGGCCCUAUGUAGGAAUUCAUGUGAAGGAAUACCCAUAUGGUGGUGAUAGGAUUCAAGGCUAGUUUGGUUUAUUAGGGCUUCUUUAGGCCUAUACUAUGUACACGUAAUAGUUAUGAGCAUUAUGAUGAUUUGGAAUAAAAUUUCUUAGGAAUUGUUGGGCGCAUUUUGGGAU
Magnolia sinica is the source of this 473-nucleotide long non-coding RNA. RefSeq lists it as uncharacterized. NCBI's taxonomy places the organism in Eukaryota, Viridiplantae, Streptophyta, Magnoliopsida, Magnoliales, Magnoliaceae. The transcript has 4 exons. The record is from RefSeq and is a predicted model, not a curated record.